GUAGGGGGCGUCUGCUGACGGAAGUAGGUCACGGGGUCUGGGAAGUCAGGGUUUUUAAGCUUCAUAUCUUCUUCCCUCUGUGCAAAGCCGGUUCGCCUUCGCCAGCUCCGCGGGUUUCCUCUUAAACGGUCGGCUGGAGACUGGACAAGGAGGAGGAGGAAGGCACAAUGCUUACUCGGUGAGGUGACGAAGGCGACAGGGAGACUUACAUUUGUUUUCCUCGACUGGAAUUCAUCUCAGUUUCCAGAGAAAUCUCCACUGCCCUCCCCUCCUUGCCGUUUGGUGUUGCUUAGGGGGAAUCUCAUGGGACUCAACAAACCUUUACGUAGUAGUUUCACAAGAUGGUUAAGAAACACCAGAAAAGAUGGCUAAUAAAGAAAUGACUCUAGUUCCACAACAUGGAAUUGAGAGCUCUCUAGAGAUGACAAGAUGAUGCCUGUGUUUGGUCUUUAUCGCCGUUGGGUUGCUUGGAGCUUCCAGGUCCACACCCCCCACUCAGAUAGAACUUCAUGGACUAAGGCUGAGACAUGCUGGGCCACGACAAAAUGGUGCCCAACGUGGGCCUGAGAACGGGGAAGAAGCCAUGGACACCACGAAGAAACGGGCAAGGCAGAGUCUUGGACACUUCGGAGACAUAGUCGUCGCGGGCGAACCGGUUGGGGAAGAAGCACUCGCAGGAAAAAGAAGAAAGAAGUGGCCGAAUGUGGUGAAUGAACAGCGUUAAGUCAGGAAUAAAACUGUAUAUAAUGGUAGAAAUAGGAAACAGAUAUAUGCAAUAUAAAA
This is a non-coding RNA of Cricetulus griseus (Chinese hamster), 783 nucleotides long. Lineage: Eukaryota; Metazoa; Chordata; Mammalia; Rodentia; Cricetidae. The record is from RefSeq and is a predicted model, not a curated record.